UUUCCAUUGGCGUCUUGUAGCCCCUGGAGAAUGCGCUCUCUCAGAACCAGAACAGAAACACGGAGCUGGUGCCAGAGUAGUUGUACUGUAUGGAUAUCGACUAUCACAUUGACAGAGUAUGAGAGAAGCUUCAGGGAAAACUCAGUCUCUAGUAGAGCAUGAAUUUGUUCAACAUGAUCAGAUAUAUCUUCACAAAUAUCUACAGCUUGUCUCGGUCUUUUAGCUUCUCUUUAGUUAUCUUGAAGAGGGCUCCCUCUUCUGUACAGCGCCUUGGCUCCCCCCCACCAUUUGCUCUGAAUUCCUUCUAAAUUCCCUGGCUGUCUAACUAUUUCAAAGUCAUGUCAAAAGGCUCAGUCAUAGCUCCACGCCCUCAUUCGUUGUUCAUGCUCAUUCCUCUCCCCCUUCUUUCCUCUUUUUUGUUCGUGGAUCAUCU
RNAcentral lists this long non-coding RNA (433 nucleotides) under Gallus gallus (chicken). Lineage: Eukaryota; Metazoa; Chordata; Aves; Galliformes; Phasianidae. The record is from RNAcentral.